This 219-nucleotide ribosomal RNA is filed under the name uncultured bacterium. RNAcentral's name for it is "partial 16S ribosomal RNA". It matches the Rfam family "Bacterial small subunit ribosomal RNA", at positions 524 to 741 of the family's 1533-position model. The record is from RNAcentral.
UACGUAGGGUGCAAGCGUUUAUCCGGAAUUAUUGGGCGUAAAGAGCUCGUAGGCGGUUUGUCGCGUCUGCUGUGAAAACUGGAGGCUCAACCUCCAGCCUGCAGUGGGUACGGGCAGACUAGAGUGCGGUAGGGGAGAUUGGAAUUCCUGGUGUAGCGGUGGAAUGCGCAGAUAUCAGGAGGAACACCGAUGGCGAAGGCAGGUCUCUGGGCCACUACU